UGGGGAAUAUUGCACAAUGGGGGAAACCCUGAUGCAGCGACGCCGCGUGAGCGAAGAAGUAUUUCGGUAUGUAAAGCUCUAUCAGCAGGGAAGAAAAUGACGGUACCUGACUAAGAAGCACCGGCUAAAUACGUGCCAGCAGCCGCGGUAAUACGUAUGGUGCAAGCGUUAUCCGGAUUUACUGGGUGUAAAGGGAGCGUAGACGGAUGGGCAAGUCUGAAGUGAAAGCCCGGGGCUCAACCCCGGGACUGCUUUGGAAACUGUUCAUCUAGAGUGCUGGAGAGGUAAGUGGAAUUCCUAGUGUAGCGGUGAAAUGCGUAGAUAUUAGGAGGAACACCAGUGGCGAAGGCGGCUUACUGGACAGUAACUGACGUUGAGGCUCGAAAGCGUGGGGAGCAAACA
RNAcentral lists this ribosomal RNA (402 nucleotides) under uncultured bacterium. RNAcentral describes it as "bacterial SSU rRNA". It matches the Rfam family "Bacterial small subunit ribosomal RNA", at positions 355 to 774 of the family's 1533-position model. The record is from RNAcentral.